UACCUGGUUGAUCCUGCCAGCAGUCAUACGCUUGCUUCAAGGAUUAAGCCAUGCAAGUGCUGAGUAAAUGGUUAACAGUUGAUCUGCGAACGGCUCAUUAUACCAGUCGUAAUCUGCCCGGAUAAGUGGCUCAGCCAUCGAGUGGAUACCUCCACCAACCGUGAAGCUAAUACAUGGACGACAGAUUGGUACUCCGUCCAAGCAGCAAGGGGAAACCUGAGUUGUGGAGUAUCGAUGCUACUGGUCGGGAACAGAAACUAACCCGUUUCAUCGCGGAGUCUUCGUGGAAACAGACCACUGAGCGCAAGGAUUCCUUCGAGGAAACCGUGUCUGGUUGAACGACUGACCUAUCAGCUUGACUGUAGUGUAGUGGACUACAGUGGCCUUUACGGGUAACAGAGGAUCAGGGUUCGACUCUGGAGAGGGAGCCUGAGAAACGGCUACCAUGUCUAAGGACAGCAGCAGGCGCGCAAAUUGCCCAAUGCUAACACGCGCGAGGCAGCGACGAGAAGUAUUUACUGCGUUUACACUUUGUUGUGACGUAGAUAGAAAUGGAUGGCAUCCAAAACCACCACUGAGGAUCGAUCGGAGGGCAAGUCUGGUGCCAGCAGCCGCGGUAAUUCCAGCUCCGAGAGCGUAUACUGAUGCUGUUGCCGUUAAAACGCUCGUAGUUCGAUUAGAAGAAGCUUUGGUUUGUGAGUCAGUGUGUAUCGUCCGCGGUCACAUUCGAUGCAAGCUGUGUGGGUUUCUUCUGCUUUGGUGACUCGUGGUUGAAGUCUCAUUAACUUGAGAUGGAGAUUGCUACGCGGGUACCAUUGUCGAUACCGAAAACAAAACAGCGUGUUCAAAGCAGUCUAGCGACCGAAUGAUUCAGUUUGGGAUAUCAGAGGAUGGAGCGUUCAAGCUAUCUUUGUUGGUUUCUCAGUUUGGAUCGCGGAAUUGAUUGAACGCUUGUCCUGCGUGUCCUAUCUACUUGAGGUGGGUUCAGGCUUUCCAACAUGGUGUUAGGCUCGUAUGGAAACGUUCAGUCCUUCUGAAUUAACAGAGGCGACGGGGACUGUAUCUAUUGGAAGGCGAGGGGUGAAAUCCUUAGACCCUUCCAAGAGAAACGACAGCGAAGGCAUUCAGUAAUGGCGCCUUCAUUAAUCAAGAACGAGAGUGCAGGGAUCGAAGAUGAUCAGAUACCGUCGUAGUCUGCUACUGUAAACGAUGCGAACUCGGGACCGGAUUGGGUAUUCAUUCACAUGACAUUUCCGGGACCUCACUUCCUCUCCUUCGGGAAACCAUUAAGUGUCUGCGUUCGGGGGGAAGUGCGGUCGCAAGGCUGAAACUUAAAGGAUUUGACGGGACGACACCACAAGGCGUGGAUGCUGCGGCUUAAUUUGACUCAACGCGGGGAACCUUACCAGGUCAGGACGCGCGGCGGAUUGACAGAUUAAAAGCUCUUUCUUGAUUGCGUGUAUGGUGGUGCAUGGCCGCUCCUAGUUCGUAGGGUGACCCGUCUGGUUAACUCCGAUAACGAACGAGAUCCCGACCUCUCAUUGUCUGCAGGAUCGCUUUGUAGGUUCGACCUUGACUCUCGAGUCCUUGGGAAGGCUGAGAUGGCUGUAGAAAAGUCAGAGGGACGGCGCAUGUCGACAAUGCGCGGAAGGGCGGGCCAAUAGCAGGUCUGUGAUGCUCCUAGAUGUCCUGGGCUGCACGCGGCAUACAAUGAUCGUGGUAACAAGCUUGGUUUGUUUGAGCUCCUUACAAGACAUUGUUGGGGAACCUUUUCAAUCACGAUCGUAGUUGGGAUAGAUGCUUGCAACUAUUUGCCUUGAACCAGGAAUGCCUUGUAGGCGCACUUCAGCAAGGUGCACCGAAUACGUCCCUGCCGUUUGUACACACCGCCCGUCGCUGCAACCGAUUGGUUGACUAAUAGAACGGUUCUGGAGAGGCACCGUAUCAAUCCUUCUGGAAUGUUCGGAGUAUCGAAAUUCUGUGAUAUCUGUCAACUAGAGGAUGCAGAAGUCGUAACAAGGUUGCUGUAGGUGAACCUGCAGAAGGAUCAA
This 2051-nucleotide ribosomal RNA is filed under the name Bihospites bacati. RNAcentral describes it as "Eukaryotic small subunit ribosomal RNA". It matches the Rfam family "Eukaryotic small subunit ribosomal RNA". The record is from Rfam by way of RNAcentral. Lineage: Eukaryota; Euglenozoa; Symbiontida; Bihospitida; Bihospitidae.